This 808-nucleotide long non-coding RNA is filed under the name Helianthus annuus (common sunflower). RNAcentral's name for it is "hypothetical non coding rna". Lineage: Eukaryota; Viridiplantae; Streptophyta; Magnoliopsida; Asterales; Asteraceae. The record is from RNAcentral.
GGUUCGAAUCCCUUUCAGUAACUUUAUUUACUUUUCUUUUCUUUUUUCAUCUUCAACUCAAACCCUAGCUCUUCUCCGACGUCGUUUACAGAUCUCCGUCUACUAAUUUCUCAUAUUCUUUCAUCAUUCAGUAUCGAAAUCUAUCUUGUAAUAUUAUUCAAUUUUACAGCCGAAAUUCACCCCCAAACCACCGGUUCAGAGGAGACGAACUCUUGUGUUGUCUAAAAGGCACAUUCGCGGGUUGAUGCAAUUGCAUAAAGCAAGACACUUGAUGCAUCUAGAAAGCUUGAAGUAUUGAGUAGAAUCCGACAUCCUCAUCCGCUGAUUCUAAUCGGUGCAUGUGUGGAUCAUGGUUGUUUGGUUUACGGGUACAUGGGGAAACGGGAGUUUGGACGAAUGAUUAUUUCAUAAUCGCAAAAACAACACACUAGCAUGGGAAGUAGCGUCAACUCUAAUUGGAGGGACCCAUGUGGUGGAAACAGCACCAGUCUCUGAUAAUAUAAUGAUGGUUUGAUACAGGAUGUUAUAGUUGAUCCUUGUGUGGCUGCUGAUAGCUACACGUACGAUUGGAGGGUGAUAGAGCAAUGGUUUGAUACAGGAUGUUGUAGUUGAUCCUAACGCCUAAUUACGUGCUUCUUUCGGCAAUCAUGGAGUGGAAAUCAACAACAUAACCAUUUGAGUGGGAAUUUUUUGAUGCAACCUGAUUUUGUUAGGAUUGUUUUAUGUACAGUAGUUUGAUUUAUCUAUAUGUUAUAUGGACCUGUCUUGAACUUUGAGUAUGCAAAUUUAUAAAGUGUACAUCACUUUU